This 337-nucleotide ribosomal RNA is filed under the name uncultured Oscillospiraceae bacterium. Its description in RNAcentral is "bacterial SSU rRNA". It matches the Rfam family "Bacterial small subunit ribosomal RNA", at positions 354 to 703 of the family's 1533-position model. The record is from RNAcentral. Lineage: Bacteria; Bacillati; Bacillota; Clostridia; Eubacteriales; Oscillospiraceae.
UGGGGGAAUAUUGGGCAAUGGGCGAAAGCCUGACCCAGCGACGCCGCGUGAAGGAAGAAGGUCUUCGGAUUGUAAACUUCUGUCAGCAGGGACGAAGCAAGUGACGGUACCUGCCGAGAAAGCCACGGCUAACUACGUGCCAGCAGCCGCGGUAAUACGUAGGUGGCGAGCGUUAUCCGGAUUUACUGGGUGUAAAGGGUGUGUAGGCGGGUUGGCAAGUCAGAUGUGAAAAAUUAUGGGCUCAACUCAUAACUUGCAUUUGAAACUGUCGGUCUUGAGAGUGGGGAGAGGUAGAUAGAAUUCCUGGUGUAGCGGUGAAAUGCGUAGAUAUCAGGAG